This 4674-nucleotide long non-coding RNA is filed under the name Pomacea canaliculata. RNAcentral describes it as "uncharacterized LOC112571185". The record is from RNAcentral. Lineage: Eukaryota; Metazoa; Mollusca; Gastropoda; Architaenioglossa; Ampullariidae.
CUCUUUUUUCCGUCUGGCCAUGGGCGUGUAGACAAGUCCGUUGUCUUCCGGUCGCGAGCAUGUGCAAGUCAAAUGGACUUGAUUCGGCCUCAGCUGUCGAGUACAGAAGUUACUAUUCAAUGAGCAUAGGGCUGCAACAAUACCUCGCCAGCGGACCCGGUUUUGGGCAGCCCCCUUCAGUUGGGCCCAGGUGGUUCCGAUGUCCUUGCAAGCAAAGAGUACGUUGCAGUAAUCAAGUCUGGAUAAAACAAACGCAUAGACAAGAGUAUUGGCGCUCGUAGACAGAAUGUGACGGAUGGUGCUGAUCUUGCGUAGUUCAUAUAAUAGGCAGACUGACAGACAGCUGUCAAUUAUUUAUCAUAAUAGACUGACAGACAGCUGCCACUUAUGUUUAGCAAGUCAUGUCUGCAGUGACAAUGAAUCCCAGAUUCCUGAUGGAGGACGCAAAGGUGAUGUUGGUUUCGCCCAUCUUGAUGUGACUUAAAAUUGGUGGACAAAUGAGUGAAGAUGGAUUGCUUCUCGAACAUAGGAGGGCUUCGGUUGUAAUCAUCGUUGAGUUUAAGUUUGUAUGACACCAUCCAGUCUUUGACUUUAUUAAUACAGACUUCUAUGGUGCUGGCAGCAGAGUGAGACUCAGCCGGUGGAGGGGGGGCAGUACAGCUGCGUAUCAUCAGCAUAUGAUUGAUGAGAAAACGUUGUGAGACUGGAUGCAAGAUUAAAGUGGUUUCAUAUACAGAAUAAACAGAACUGGGCCGAGUACGUACUGAGGAAUUUCAGGUCGUUCUUCUGUCAGAUGACAUUCAUAGAUCAAGAUGCAGUGAGACUGAUUUACUCACUGGACUAGAGCAGCAUAGAACAAUAAUCAAACACGAAGAUCACAUCGUCAGGAGAACAUCCAGAUGAUCACAAAGUUUGAAAUUGCAGUACAUUGUCGAAACGCAUGACUGUUCGGCACUGAUGUAAAGUAUAUUCCCUGCACGACUUGUAAAAAUGAAUAAAAUCGUGAUGGCGUUAGCUAGAGAGAGUUGAUUAAUAUAGUUUAAUAACUUCAUGCUCAUGUCCACUAUAUAACAUGCGCUACGGGGAGCUGAAAACGAGAAUCAACACAGAUGAAAUGUUGACAUCGCUGACAUUAACGUACUUUUACUGCCCCUUCAUUUCACAUGGCACACUAGAAGUAAGAUAGAUAGUUGGGUGGGGGAUGUUAAGGACAUAUCUGAUCAACAGGCUGCACGUACAUCCCGGCGCAGCGCAAUGCUUCAUUACACGUAUAUCUGUUUCGCUUCACUGCAUAUCAGCCACUGACUGGAAUAAACCUGACUCGAAUGUAGCAAGCGAUAUAGUCAAUUUUUAAAGUAAAACCCCAGGGGAAAAAAAAAAAACACCAGAAAUGGAUGGUGGUUCGAUCAGGCGUGUAACAACUUAUAUAUAUAUUUAGAACAGAUUAUUCAUAUAAAUAUAACUUGAAGAAACGAUCACUCUGUGUCACUGAAACUCUAUAUAUCACCAUUUCCAAAAUGGUCGAUCGUAUAUUUGGUUCGAGCAUAAUCGAGUGUUCUAGUUUAUGAAACCGGCUGACAAUGGCGCCAGUACACGUAUUCGUGGUCGGUCAUAUCGCCCCACCGCCUAAGUCAACUCGUCCCAGCCAUGACCUCGAAAGCGAAUCGUCCCACCCCAUCAUCCCACCCACCGCAAAAAAAAACAAAAAAAAAACAACAAAAAACAAAACAAAAUUGUCUAGGCGAGGUGAUAAAUAUCUUCUUGCCACUUAAGGCUGGCUGUCAAUAUAAUCUACACUUUAAAUGGCAGUCUUUAUUUAUUCUUUAGUUUGAGGUUCGACUGAAUAUGCCGGAUGUUGCUGCCCAGGUAUUCGAUCCUGGAGGGGAGAAAGAGGGUACGGUGCAACUUGUGCAAGGGUUAUGCAGGAGUACGCAGCGACAUAAAUAAGCACACACCAUUAUGAAAAUAAGUACUUUUACGUGCAAGGGGUACCCGCGGAUAUACUUUCACCCUAUAUCUCCGUAGUACAGGCGACAGACAACGCAUGUCUUUUUGCAGCAGACAAUUAUAUAGACACCAAGAUUGAGUGAGCGUCGCAUGUAGAAAUACUACUUUCAGUGGUAAAAUGUCUUUUUCGAGUACUUACCAGAUGACAUGAGUAUAUGUGGAGAUCACCCUCUAGCUACCUCAAACCCAACUGUCCAAACCUGUUCUGGUCAAAGGACCACAGAACAUACGUAGGACAUAAAUACGGUUCAGCCCCUCUCCCCUCCAUACCUGUAAUGCUAGUGAGCACAACUCCAGCUUUUCGCUUUGACUGAGUCUGGAACCCACUGCGGGGAGGUGGGAGCUAACUGUCAUGUCAUCUGGUAAGUACUCGAAGAAAGAAAUUCUACCACUAAAAAUGGUAUUUCUUCUUCGUAUUGUACCAGAUGACAUAUGACUAUUGGAGACUAAAUAACAUUUUGAGGGAGUGGUAUCCCACCCUGGCAGCAAACCUAUAAAUGUUAAGAUGGUUGGGAGAAAACCUUUACAAACCAAGACACGAUCGAGUUUACUUUCUCCGUUCAAGAGGAUUACUGUAAGCGACGAAGAUUUAUUUACUGUACCAAAAAGGUCCUUUGUGAGCCCAUAAAUUAAAGAAGAUAAGAAAGAAGAAAAAAAAAAAACCCCUCCUGAAGGCAGUGAACCAUAUACAAUCGACGUUGUGGGGGACGUGGGGUGCAUGAGACUAUAAUUUUUUACCAAUGUAAGCAUGCCAUGAAUUUAUAUAUAUAUUUAAAAAAAAAUUAUUUUACUCGGGUAUUGCGUAUAAGUGAAUGAUUUUUGUGAUUUUAUGAUAAUAAUCUCGAGUAUUCUACACGUCACCCUGUAAACAGCUUACACCGUGUCCAAGCACUCAGAUGAUUGUGUCCUACAUCGCAUUGGAGGCAUCUCAUAUUACAUCAACAAAAUAUCUAGCACCACGUCGGCGUUUAUCUCGCUACGAUUCAUUGCAUCUACUUGUUACUUACAGACAGAUCUACAUUUCCCGUGAAAGUGUCUCUGUACAUGGAUACGUUUACAGAAAGCUGAGACCGUAAUAAACGAGGUCAUGGACUUGACACAAACCCUGGGAGAGAGAAGAUAUAAAACUUUAUUUUUACAGUAUUUAUUUGUAGUGCAACCAACGAUCAUUUGAGUUGGUUACUAAAGAUCUCAAAUCUCGUUUUAACAUCCCCCUCCCCAAUUCUGAAUGUUGGAAUAAAUUUACAUUACCUGGGCCAGGUAGGAGUGAGCGUGGUCCCUAAUUCUGACAUUUACUGUCUACUUGUAGCCUUUUGCUUGGCUUCAAAGCCCACCAUUUAUUGGUUGAAUGGACUUCUCACUACUGGUCUCAGUAACGCAGAUUUGUUCCCUAAAAAUAUUUUUCAUAAUUUUGUGUUUUUGGCAGAUGUGAGAUACAGGGUGGGAGAGCAGGAAAGGUGAAUUUCAUGCUGUAAAAAUGGAAAGCGAAUGGAUCUCACUGAUGCCAGGAUUCCAGACUGGUCAACAAUGUGGAAAUAAACUACACACUGGUUUACGAGAAAACUAUUAUUUUAUAAAACAUGCUUCAGACUGUUUACAGAAGGGGGAAAAGUCACUUAAUAUAACAACGUUUAUUUAUUUAUUUUUACAAUAGUAUUUACAGACAAACAUGGAUAUACACAAUGACUAAGCACUACAAUUUGCUGAUGUGAAUAUCUCACUGGACAUCCAAAAAUGUUUUAUACGUUUUGAGUGCAUGCAUGUCUAUAUGCACAUAUAAACUUGAUUGUUAUGGUCUGUGUACAAGUAUGUGAACCCCAUUUCUUUCUUUUAAAGUGGAAAGGUGGGGUCUUCUCUUUCCUCCCAUCCAAAUUUAUUAGAUGUCUAGGCCAAACCCAUCAACACACAUCAGCAGCCGUGCAAGAUAAAUAUGGUCAUAAACUACCUAAUGACCAUAAGAUGACACUGUCUUAAGGCGAUUCAGUGGUUUACUUAAUGUCCUCUUACUUGUUAUUUUCCACAGCUUUUAUUUAUGGCACUUAGAAACGGGAGCUGACCUUGGAAGGAAGUGAUGUCCCCAAUAAACUAUGAUAAAACAACAACAGUAUAUAUAUAGAGGUAUAUUUAGUCAGUGUCAGUUGUCAUAUUUUCUCAGACGUCUGGUGACAAUGCAGAAAGUUAAACAUGUACAAAUCACAGAUACUAACAUGAGUGUUUGAUCACUAAGCCAUGUAAAGACACAAUGGUUAUGUUUGUGUCUUCUGCAACCUUUUACUUCAUUUCUGUAAACUGAUUGCCUGACAACAGCUUGACAUGACAACGAAUUUUUGGCUUAAGCAAAACUAAUGAAAUAAUUAAGCUUAUUACCCUCUUAAAUCAUUUCAGAAAUGAGGGUGGUGAGUAAACUUGAGAAUAUAAAAACAACCCAAAAUUUUUAUGGUGGACGUCUACAACGCAAGGCACUGUGUGCACCCAAUAGGCAACAGAUUUAAUUAAUGUACUGUUUAAACAGGUGCUAUAUCUCAUGGUGUGUAUGUGGGGAGGGGCAUAUGUGUGUGCAUGUACACAUCCAUCUUUUUAUUUUUUUUUUUUCUUUGAGUGGAUACCAUCUUUCCAAGAGUACUGCUAAUAUGCAAAUAGCUCUUGUGAAAAGACAAACAAAAAUUA